AGCUGCAGCGUGAAUCACUUUCAAUGUAUUGGUCACGCGUGUUACACCGCACCCGUACCGGUACCCCGCACUUGCAACUCUGUACCGUGCUUGCAGAUCCAUGACAUGGAUAGUAACUAGUCUCACUGCGUUCAAUGUUUCAUAUUGACCUUAGAAAUACUGCUGCACUUUCAACCGCCUCUUUUACGCCCAUUGCCCACACUGCUAUUCAGCUCCUUCUUCUGCAUAGAAUCAAAUGGCAUUCCUUGUGCAAUGACUGUAGCCCACACAACAUACUUUGACCUUUCUUCUUCUCUCUGCUGAGCCUUUGCCGUGACCAUGCUGUUGCAGCACGUAUGCUGUCUGCCUAUAAAAGCUGCUGUUCACAAUUCUCUAGAGGCCAGUUAGAAGUACAGUUAGAAAGGCCAGUUAGAACCUUCAAUAAUGUCAGUUUAGAGUUAGAGUCAGAGUUAAUGUUUACAAUGUAGUCUUCCGUUUAGUUCAGUAAGAAUUAUUAUUAACAGUGUGUUCACUGAGACCCGUCUGCAUUUGCCUCCGAGAGAGACUGCGGUCCGUUACAGAAUUGGUGCCAGCGGUGGGAUCCGUUACAGAAUUGGUGCCAGCGGUGGGAUACGCUACAGAAUUGGUGGCAGCGGUGGGAUACGCUACAGAAUUGGUGGCAGCGGUGGUACAAUUUUAUAAUUGCUAGAUUCGAACCCACCUAGUAUCUGUAUUGCAUUGAUGGCAGCGGCGCCACAGAAUCGAUGGCAGCGGUAAAUUGUUUUAUUGGUGUAACCGGUACCAUCAUGGCCCAACCUGAUGCGUCAGUCGCCGCUACUCCUUCGCCCGCCACGUCUCCCCCUAGCCCGAAAUGAUGACGGACAACGUCUCUACCGAUCAAGCUCCAUGUCCAACGUAAGCUAAUUCCCGAUAUGGCACUUUUCUUUCCUGUCUUCCUUCAGUCUUCCUGUUCUCUUCAGUCUUCCUUUAUGCGAGUGUGUGAAUCCAGUUUAGUUAGGUAGGCGUCCGAUCAUGGUGAGCCACGGUCUAUCUAACUAACCUGGGAUAAUGUGUGUUAGAGUGCCCUUUGUCCAGUUCAGUUUGGAACUGUGAACUAUUUUUAUGGCUCAAACGCCAUGGUGGUACAGCAAGUGUGCUGUGAGUCCUAUUUGGAGGACAAUUUUUUCCCCUUUGGCCCCGUGAGAUCGUGUGAACCUGGAGUGAUGCUAUUUUAUGAUUUUGUUAUCAGUUCAUUUCUUCUGUCUACUCUCAAAGGUUAUCAUUUCCGAUAUUAUUUUGCCAUAUUCCGGUUGACGCUGUACCAGUAUGAUGCGCUAUCUCCUAUAAUGUUCAAUGAAUAUGUUCGCACCACCUCUCAGUCCUGUGAUAUGCUGCUGCGCUCCAGCCAGUACUUCAAUGUCAGUUGUCCUCAUUGCGUCCGGAUAUCAACCGAGGCUGUUCACGAAUACAUACCUGUAUAUGCACGUCAUCCAUUCUGCCUAUCUUCUUCCGUCGAGGUUAUUCCGACGCGACCAUGCAUGCCGCCCGUGUCUUCUAAUCUCAGUCGAUUGUCGGAGUCCGGCUAUAUCAACUAUGUUACUCGCCAAGUCUAGUCUGCGCAUCUACAUGAUCUUCUAUCAUUGUUCGUCACUUCGUCACAAGUAUUCGUGUUCUGCUACUCGGACUCUAAUCACGAGGACGUGAUUCUGUUUAAAGAAGGAAGGUGUAGCGUUGGCACGCUAGUAACUCACACAGCUGCAGCGUGAAUCACUUUCAAUGUAUUGGUCACGCGUGUUACACCGCACCCGUACCCCGCACUUGCAACUCUGUACCGUGCUUGCAGAUCCAUGACAUGGAUAGUAACUAGUCUCACUGCGUUCAAUGUUUCAUAUUGACCUUAGAAAUACUGCUGCACUUUCAACCGCCUCUUUUACGCCCAUUGCCCACACUGCUAUUCAGCUCCUUCUUCUGCAUAGAAUCAAAUGGCAUUCCUUGUGCAAUGACUGUAGCCCACACAACAUACUUUGACCUUUCUUCUUCUCUCUGCUGAGCCUUUGCCGUGACCAUGCUGUUGCAGCACGUAUGCUGUCUGCCUAUAAAAGCUGCUGUUCACAAUUCUCUAGAGGCCAGUUAGAAGUACAGUUAGAAAGGCCAGUUAGAACCUUCAAUAAUGUCAGUUUAGAGUUAGAGUCAGAGUUAAUGUUUACAGUGUAGUCUUCCGUUUAGUUCAGUAAGAAUUAUUAUUAACAGUGUGUUCACUGAGACCCGUCUGCAUUUGCCUCCGAGAGAGACUGCGGUCCGUUACAGAAUUGGUGCCAGCGGUGGGAUCCGUUACAGAAUUGGUGCCAGCGGUGGGAUUCGUUACAUAAUGCCUAAUGCCCAGGCAGCUGACUUUAUUUUCGGAGAAACACUACUCAUUGUAGUAAAAAGUAACAAUGAAUAGCGAUAUCAUCUAGGAAGGAUCGCUACCCUAACGCGAAGGAAAGGCCUUGCGCGGCUGCUCUACGAAGUGUUGAAGAAAGACUCAUCAAAGUUAGUUGGUGGACGAACAACUCGCUGGCGCCGGAAAACUUGGCCCCCAACGAUGGUGUUUGGUGAAUCAUCAAGCAUAAUGUCUUGUAGCAGUGUUCACCGAGGAAGGAGAACGCUCUAGCCGCUGCUGUUGUCCGUUUCAUCCACGUUGGGCGUUAGCUGCACCGCGCCUAUUGUGUUUUAGUAUUCCAUGGACACACAUUAGCAUUCAGAGCGAUUGUGGAGCCACAAUUUACUUCACACAGCGUUGUAUUGUCCACGAGCGCAAACUUCAUUAUCAGCAGUAACUGUUACUCUUCAUCCUACAUGUAGACUUGGAGUAUACACGGCCUUGUCACGACAGCGACAGCUCUACAGAGUGUUCAAGUGAGAAACAUUAAUUUCAAUUGUUGGUGGACGAAUAAAUGGCUGGUUCCGAAAAACGCGGCCUGCACCGACGGUGUUUGGUGGAUCAUCAAACAGGGUGACCAGCAGUGUUCACCGAGGAAGGAGAAUGCACUUGCCACCACUCCGAGUCAUCCAAGUGGGCGUUAGCUGCGCCGCGCCUAUUGUGUUUUAGUAUUCCAUGGACGCACACUAGCGUUCUCAGCGAUUGUGGAGCCACAACAUAUCUUCAUGCGGCGUUGCACUGUCCAAGAGCAGAAACGUCAGCAGUGACCCAUCAUCAUACAUGUAGGUUUGGAGUAUACACACCAUGCGCCAAUGGGCCUUGGCACAACAGCGGCAGCUCUACGAAGUGUUCAAGUGAGAAACAUUUGUUUCGACUUUUGGUGGACGAACAAAUCGUCGGUGCCGAAAAACGUGGCCUGCGCCGAUGGUGCUUGAAACAUCAAGCAUGGUAUGUGGUGACUGUCAGUGUUGAUCGAGGAACUUGGAAGGAGAACACUUAGGCCGUCGACCGUUCAUCCAUUUCGUUAGCUGCACCAAGUCUAUUGUGUCCUUGUAUUCCAUGGGCACACAAUCAUGAAGCAUGGCGUCUGAGCUGUGUUCACAGAGCGGGGAGAUGCUCUUGCUGCUAUCUUAUCCGUCCUGUGUAUUCCCAAGUGCCGAAGGCUCACAACGAUGGUGUUGGACAAGUCAGAUAAAAUAGAGUCAACAUCGUCACACGGUGCUGUGACCAAGAUACGGAUCAUGCCGAACGCUGAUUCAACUGGACGAAGCGCGAGGCUUUUCAGAUGCAGGGACACAAUGGAAACUGAAUGACUUCAGAACAGCACUGAAGCGUUAUGUUAUCAUGCAAGACGCCUUUCUGCGCCGCACAAACACAGGCGGUACUACAGCAGAAGAUGUCACUCACUAUUCUGCAGGUGCACUGGUGACAGGCGCAUGCAAGUUCACCAGAAGGAAGUGGUCUGAUGUUAACUGGAAUGCCAGCAGUAUGAGAGGGUGUGCAUUCUGCGGCGGAUCUCACCUGGACAAGAGCUGCGCGAAAUACACAACAGUAGCACAGCGGAAAGAAUAACUGAUUGAACAGAAGCGUUGCUUUGUGUGUUUGCGCACAGGGCACCGGUCAACUCAGUGCAAGGCCACCCGCAAGUGUAAUGUGUGUUCUCGCAUGGGUCACCAAUCAGAGUCACCAUCAUGUCACGAUCUGCCCUGAAUCUCAACAGAAAUCUGACAGCAGUACCAACAUAGUAGCUGACCAGCCUGUGGCUGACGAGGUACCAGCAUCUAGCGCAACAGCAGCUAGUGCAGCAUCAACCAGUAUCGCCAUUGACCGUAAGAUAGUCAGUCGUCUUGAUCGGUGCAGAUUUCCUCUGGGAGUCUCAGUUGACGUGGAGCACCAGAGGACUUCCGCCAGGACUACAGUUUCUGCCUACCACAGUCGGUUUUGUGGUGACUGGCCGAACACGUCACUCCAAGCACUCAGCUACGCCGAUGAGCAGCCAUGCCAGCUAUCGGUUCUCUAACUGAUGCAACUUCCGACUCCUGCACCAUCCCAGAUCUGUGGGACCUAGACUGUGUUGACAUCCAGGAUUCAGGCAAUCUUACUAACAACGACCUAGCCAUUAGGCAAUUCAUCAUUGUUCUACGAUUUUGCCUGCCACCAAUCGUCAUGACCUGCGAUACUGAGAAGGCCAUUUUACAAAUCAGUGCCAACCCAGCAUACAGAGUUGCGACACGAUUUCUGUGGUUCGCCAACUCCGACAGUCCAUCAGUCACCCCAUCCAGCCUGUUCACGCUCAUAAGCAGUCCAUUUCUGCUUGGCGCGUCUAUACAGCAUCAUUUGGCACAGCAAGAUGACAAAACAGCUAGCAGUGGCUGUUGGUGAGAACAUUUUCUGCUGUGCCAUUGGAGUGUGCACGACUGCACGAUACACGAACCCUGCUCUUUUGUUGGCACCGCCUAUGUAACUUACUGCAUAGGGUGCAAGGUGACCGUUGUCGGUUUACAUGUACUCCAGUUAUUACACCGUGCAUGCACUGAGUCUGUGCUGCACUGUGCAUCCAUAGGUGUUCGUUUGCGGUAGCGCAAGGUGACACGCAAGGUUGAUGGAUUGUUUUGUCCGCUGCUAUUCGAAGCUCUCGGAGUCGGAAGCGUUAGCUCUGUUUCCCCUGUUCCUCCCUGCGCGGAGUCUGUAGUUCUGGCUUGCAGUUGCUGUUACAUGCAUGUUGGCAGUUGCAUGUGUGUUUGGUUUUCAGUUGUCUUUAUUUGUUUUGUGUGGACGACAGUUCAAUAUUCUA
Long non-coding RNA from Sycon ciliatum, 5195 nucleotides. RefSeq lists it as uncharacterized. NCBI's taxonomy places the organism in Eukaryota, Metazoa, Porifera, Calcarea, Leucosolenida, Sycettidae. The transcript is spliced from 2 exons. The record is from RefSeq and is a predicted model, not a curated record.